RNAcentral lists this long non-coding RNA (837 nucleotides) under Mytilus galloprovincialis (Mediterranean mussel). Lineage: Eukaryota; Metazoa; Mollusca; Bivalvia; Mytilida; Mytilidae. The record is from RNAcentral.
AUACUGACCAAUGACUUGCAUCAAAAGUGCUUAAUAUAGAAUAGUUCUUCAUUUCUUUCAAACAUAAAGUAUCAUGAUAUAUAUCAUUAAGGCAUCUACCAAAUUCACAAUCAUUCUGAUAUAUUUUGUAAAUGACUGCCAUGAAUUUAUUACAUUGUGUUGUGAAAAAAUUUACACCUAAGUUGUCCUUAUAGGUUAAAAAUAACUUAAUCUAUUUCAUUUAAUAUUCUAUUAUUUGGCUAAGAUGUUUGUGCCACCUGACAGUGAAGCUAUGUCCACUCCAAAGGAUCACGUCUUGUAUCCUUAGAGAGUGUAUUCUGUUGUCUAGCUUUGUAUUCUGCAUCAUAUCUUUUAAAUCUGCAACUCAUACAUUGAAAGAAUUGAAGAAAACUGACAGAUUCUUCCACAGAAUACCAAGUCGUGCACUUCCUUUUUAAAUUUUUGAUCUUCUUUAUUUUUUCGUUUAUAUAAAAAAUAAGACUUUGCCAUCCCUCCUUAUUUUACUUAGAGACAUGGGUGCCAUUUAUUUCUUGAAAGGACUUGAACAUUUUUAAAUAUACGUUUCUUAGAGGAAGACUGUCAUGUCUUUUUAAAAUGGACGUCGCUGACUUUUAAAAAAUAUUUAUAAGUACAUGUACUUAGAAAGCUCAUGUUAAUAGCUCACAAUAAGCAAUCAAAAGUUACCCUGUGAUAUACUUACUAGUAAACUUUUUUUUCUAUCUAAUCAUAUUCAAGGAUGAGAGGAUUUUAAUUAUCAUGAAAUCAAGUUUAAUAGAUAGAUACAUUGUACUACAUUUUUUUUAAAAACUUUGUACUGUUGAUUGUUGUAAGAAAAAA